This 506-nucleotide ribosomal RNA is filed under the name uncultured bacterium. RNAcentral's name for it is "partial 16S ribosomal RNA". It matches the Rfam family "Bacterial small subunit ribosomal RNA", at positions 29 to 523 of the family's 1533-position model. The record is from RNAcentral.
AGUGAACGCUGGCGGUAGGCCUAACACAUGCAAGUCGAACGGCAGCACAGGAGAGCUUGCUCUCUGGGUGGCGAGUGGCGGACGGGUGAGGAAUACAUCGGAAUCUACUCUGUCGUGGGGGAUAACGUAGGGAAACUUACGCUAAUACCGCAUACGACCUACGGGUGAAAGCAGGGGACCUUCGGGCCUUGCGCGAUUGAAUGAGCCGAUGUCGGAUUAGCUAGUUGGCGGGGUAAAGGCCCACCAAGGCGACGAUCCGUAGCUGGCCUGAGAGGAUGAUAAGCCACACUGGAACUGAGACACGGUCCAGACUCCUACGGGAGGCAGCAGUGGGGAAUAUUGGACAAUGGGCGCAAGCCUGAUCCAGCCAUACCGCGUGGGUGAAGAAGGCCUUCGGGUUGUAAAGCCCUUUUGUUGGGAAAGAAAUCCAGCUGGCUAAUACCCGGUUGGGGUGACGGUACCCAAAGAAUAAGCACCGGCUAACUUCGUGCCAGCCGCCGCGGUAA